AGUUUUUUAUAACAGGCUUUGGUGAAAAGGGAAGCAGGUGAGAAUCCUGCACGAACUCGUCACCGUAUUCAGGGAGCGAAGGCCGACAUAUCACUGGGAAACCGGGAAGAUGGCCGGAGUAACGAUCUGUGAGCCGGGAGACCUGCCUGGGUUAAUG
RNAcentral lists this non-coding RNA (157 nucleotides) under bovine gut metagenome. The record is from RNAcentral.